Transfer RNA from Colletotrichum sublineola, 90 nucleotides. It matches the Rfam family "tRNA". Rfam says of the family: Transfer RNA (tRNA) molecules are approximately 80 nucleotides in length. Their secondary structure includes four short double-helical elements and three loops (D, anti-codon, and T loops). Further hydrogen bonds mediate the characteristic L-shaped molecular structure. tRNAs have two regions of fundamental functional importance: the anti-codon, which is responsible for specific mRNA codon recognition, and the 3' end, to which the tRNAs corresponding amino acid is attached (by aminoacyl-tRNA synthetases). tRNAs cope with the degeneracy of the genetic code in two manners: having more than one tRNA (with a specific anti-codon) for a particular amino acid; and 'wobble' base-pairing, i.e. permitting non-standard base-pairing at the 3rd anti-codon position. NCBI's taxonomy places the organism in Eukaryota, Fungi, Ascomycota, Sordariomycetes, Glomerellales, Glomerellaceae. The record is from Rfam.
GCGGACAUAGCUCAGUUGGGAGAGCGUCAGACUGAAGUCAACUUCAAUCACUUAAUCUGAAGGUCGUGUGUUCAAUCCACACUGGCCGCA